Molecule: unclassified non-coding RNA, 302 nt
Filed under: uncultured Glomerales
Lineage: Eukaryota; Fungi; Glomeromycota; Glomeromycetes; Glomerales; Glomeraceae
Description: sequence contains 5.8S rRNA gene, ITS2, 28S rRNA gene
Source: RNAcentral
AACGCAAAUUGCACUCUCUGGCAACCCGGGGAGUAUGCCUGUUUGAGGGUCAGUAUAAUUAAAAAUCGGAGUGCGUUGCAUUUUGUGACCUUUCCGGAGUUUGAGUUAUCUUAACCUUUUUAGGUUAAGAGGCUUAAAAUUGAUUAUCUUUUGCGCAUUUUUAGACGUACAUAAAAAAUUUUUAUUCGCCUAUUUUUAAUGCCAAAUUUAUUAGAUGCGACCACAAUGUAUAUAUGGUUACGUGUCUAUAAUUUUUUUCAUGAUUUGACCUCAAAUCAGGUAGGAGUACCCGCUGAACUUAA